RNAcentral lists this non-coding RNA (26 nucleotides) under Mus musculus (house mouse). Lineage: Eukaryota; Metazoa; Chordata; Mammalia; Rodentia; Muridae. The record is from RNAcentral.
UGGAAGAUAUACAGUGGGUUUUUGCU